Molecule: long non-coding RNA, 1313 nt
Filed under: Phaseolus vulgaris (common bean)
Lineage: Eukaryota; Viridiplantae; Streptophyta; Magnoliopsida; Fabales; Fabaceae
Description: long non-coding RNA (PVUL_LNC000936)
Rfam family: Small nucleolar RNA R24 (bases 752-842)
Source: RNAcentral
GUUUAUGAUCUUCUCGUUCUAACUCCUUAGUGUUUGAUUAUAUUGCCAUUUCAAGUAAACUGUUUUGCUUUUUUUUUUUGUUUUAUUCCUCGCCGAUGACUUAUCUUCCAUAGAAAUUGUUGUUUGCUUUAACUUAAUGUGAAACAUAGCUUGUUCUUGAAUGUCAUUACGUAUUGUAUUAUUAGACUACACUAUUAUGUUAAUUACUGUACAGUCCCAAUGUAGGAACAUUGAUGUCAUUUUUAUAAAUGGAAAGAAUAUUUAUGUUAUUGUUGCCCAUGGAUUUGUUAGAGUUAAUGCUUAUGCGUCUUUAAUUUGGUGAUUGUUGUGUCUUGGGGCAUAUUCUGCUAAUCAAAUGCCUUUUGGGUCUUUUGCCUCUAAGACACAGUGGUGGUGAUGAGCCUCUAACAUAUAAGAGGAAUCCUUUUUCAGGGUUUCUUCAAUGAAAUAUGCAUGUUACGCUUGGCUUCUGAGCUUCAAUCAUUCGUGAAUUCAUCCUUGAAUUUAUUCUUCUGAGAAUUUGAUUCUGUUGCCACUCCAAAUAUGUUUCUUCUUGUCUGCUUUAUUUUCAAUUAAUUGUUAUUCGUUAAGUACCAACCCUGGUGUCAUUUUCAUAAAUGAAAACUUGAGUUAUAUUAUUGUUGUUCGUUGAUUUGUAGAAGAUACCUUGUGCAUGUGGUGAUUGUUGUGUAUUUGUUUGGGCAUUUUGUUCCAAACAAAUGCCUUUUGGGACUUUUGUCUCCAAGACACAGUGGUGGUGAUGAGCCUCUAACAUAUAAGAAGAAUCCUUUUUCAGGGUUUCUUCAAUGAAAUAUACAUGUUACGCUUGGCUUCUGAGCCUCAAUCAUUCAUGUGUACCAUGAGUUUAUUCUUCUGAUAAUUUGAUUCUGUUGUUACUUCAAAUAUAUGUUUCUUCUUGUCUGCUUUAUUUUCAAUUAAUUGUUAUUCGUUAAGUUCCAACCCUGGUGUCAUUUUCAUAAAUGAAAACUAGAGGUAUGUUAUUGUUCUUUGAUUUGUAGAAGAUACCUUGUGCAUGUGGUGAUUGUUGUGUAUUGGUUUGGGCAUACUGUGCUAAGCAAAUGCCUUUUGGGUCUUUUGCCUCCAAGACACAGUGGUGGUGAUGAGCCUCUAACAUAUAAGAAGAAUCCUUUUUCAGGGUUUCUUCAAUGAAAUAUGCAUGUUACGCUUGGCUUCUGAACUUCAAUCAUUCAGGAAUUCUUCCAAGAAUUUAUUCUUUUGAGAAAUUUGAUUCCAUUGCUACUUCAAAUAUAUGUUUCUUCUUUUUUGCUUUAUUUUCAAUUAAUUGUUAUUUG